This 780-nucleotide ribosomal RNA is filed under the name Acinetobacter sp. RNAcentral's name for it is "bacterial SSU rRNA". It matches the Rfam family "Bacterial small subunit ribosomal RNA", at positions 43 to 817 of the family's 1533-position model. The record is from RNAcentral. Lineage: Bacteria; Pseudomonadati; Pseudomonadota; Gammaproteobacteria; Moraxellales; Moraxellaceae.
UGCGCAGCUUACACAUGCAGUCGAGCGGAGAUGAGGUGCUUGCACCUUAUCUUAGCGGCGGACGGGUGAGUAAUGCUUAGGAAUCUGCCUAUUAGUGGGGGACAACAUUCCGAAAGGAAUGCUAAUACCGCAUACGCCCUACGGGGGAAAGCAGGGGAUCUUCGGACCUUGCGCUAAUAGAUGAGCCUAAGUCGGAUUAGCUAGUUGGUGGGGUAAAGGCCUACCAAGGCGACGAUCUGUAGCGGGUCUGAGAGGAUGAUCCGCCACACUGGGACUGAGACACGGCCCAGACUCCUACGGGAGGCAGCAGUGGGGAAUAUUGGACAAUGGGCGGAAGCCUGAUCCAGCCAUGCCGCGUGUGUGAAGAAGGCCUUUUGGUUGUAAAGCACUUUAAGCGAGGAGGAGGCUACUUAGAUUAAUACUCUAGGAUAGUGGACGUUACUCGCAGAAUAAGCACCGGCUAACUCUGUGCCAGCAGCCGCGGUAAUACAGAGGGUGCGAGCGUUAAUCGGAUUUACUGGGCGUAAAGCGUGCGUAGGCGGCUGAUUAAGUCGGAUGUGAAAUCCCUGAGCUUAACUUAGGAAUUGCAUUCGAUACUGGUCAGCUAGAGUAUGGGAGAGGAUGGUAGAAUUCCAGGUGUAGCGGUGAAAUGCGUAGAGAUCUGGAGGAAUACCGAUGGCGAAGGCAGCCAUCUGGCCUAAUACUGACGCUGAGGUACGAAAGCAUGGGGAGCAAACAGGAUUAGAUACCCUGGUAGUCCAUGCCGUAACGAUGUCUACU